RNA transcript from Helianthus annuus (common sunflower), 2845 nucleotides. It is a transcript of the gene named probable arabinosyltransferase ARAD1, with no coding region annotated. Lineage: Eukaryota; Viridiplantae; Streptophyta; Magnoliopsida; Asterales; Asteraceae. The record is from RefSeq and is a predicted model, not a curated record. The transcript has 6 exons.
UAGUACAGUAAUGAGUAAAGGCAUGCGGUUGGGCGUUCACACACACACAUACUGAAAGUUGCGAUCCUUCCUUUGGGUUGGGGGAUAUGAUCUGAUCUGAUCUGAUGUUAACAAUUCCAAUAUUACAUAGAUAGAUUCAUCACAUACACACAAAAUGAUUGGUAAAGCAGUGGUAUCACUCGUCAUCUUUCUCGUUACCGUUUUCAUCACAUACUCAAUGACCACAGGAAGAGGAGGAUCCGGUAGCACGCACUUCUCCUUCUUCUCCCUCCCCAUCCCCAAACCUAAUCAUUCUCCUCCCUUACCCUUGCCUUGUCGCAGUGGAUCUCCGCUUAGAGUUUUCAUGUACGAUUUGCCAAAGAGGUUUAAUGUUGGUAUGCUGCCGCCGUCAAAUGCCACCAAUAAUCUGCCGGAGUGGCCGCACCAUCCGCGGCUGCAACAACAGCACAGUGUGGAGUAUUGGAUGAUGGCCUCCCUUUUGUAUGAAAAUAAUGUUGAUGAUGCUCAGGAGGCGGUUAGGGUAUUAAAUCCUGAGGCUGCGGAUGUCUUUUUUGUCCCCUUUUUUUCUUCUUUGAGCUUUAACACGUAUGGGAACAACAUGACUGACCCCGAUACUGAAUUUGAUCGCCAGUUGCAGGUUGACAUCCUUGAAAUCUUGAGGAAAUCUAAAUAUUGGCAAAGGACUUCUGGAAGAGAUCAUGUGAUUCCCAUGCACCAUCCCAACGCUUUCAGAUUUCUUCGGGAAGAAGUGAAUGCAUCUAUUCUAAUUGUUGCAGAUUUUGCCCGUUUUCCCAGAAGUAUGGCAAGUUUACAAAAAGACGUUGUUGCCCCUUAUAAGCAUGUUGUGGAAUCUUUUAUGGAUGAUGAUUCUUCAAACCCUUACAAGUUGCGUACCACACUUUUGUUCUUCCGAGGAAGAACAGUGAGAAAAUCUGAAGGCAAAGUUCGUCGCAAGCUCGAGAAAUUACUACAAGGUUAUGAAGAUGUUCAUUUUGAAGCAAGUUAUGCUACCGGAGAAGGCAUAAAUGCUUCAACACAGGGCAUGAGGUCAUCAAAAUUCUGUUUACAUCCAGCCGGCGACACUCCUUCCUCCAACCGACUGUUCGAUGCUAUUGUGAGCCACUGUGUACCUGUGAUUAUUAGCGACCAUAUUGAGCUCCCUUUUGAGUCUGAACUAGACUACACCAAGUUUUCGCUCUUCUUUUCUAUAAAUGAUGCAUUGGUUCCAGGCUACAUGGUUGAACACCUAAGGAAGAUACCCGAAAGCGAGUGGCUUAAAAUGUGGGCCCGUCUUAAAGAAAUAACACAUCAUUUUGAAUAUCAGUUCCCGCCAAAAAAAGACGAUGCGGUUAAUAUGUUAUGGAGACAGGUUAGGAAUAAAGUUCCUGGUGAAAGACUUGUUGUAAAUAGAAACCGAAGACUGACGAUCCCUGAUUGGUGGUGAAGAAUCACAAAUGUCAACAUUUUCUUAACAUGUUGUAACAUGAAGUGUCUUUAAUGAGUUUUGACCAAUUGGAUACUCAAAUGCAUGAUGAUUCUUGUCGUUAUAUUGUACUUCUUGGCCUCGUCGGUUUCUUCUGCAGGUAUGUUAUUGGAUCAGGUUUUUCCAAUUAUUUUAUAUUAUUAUCCCAUGAUUAUAUCAUUUUUGUUAAACUGAAGAACCAUCUACUGAAGCAGUUAGGCUUCAGAAUCCUAGUUUCGAAUCUCCACCAACAAAUCUAACCACAGAUUCCACCUCCCAAUCGGUGCUCCUUGAUACCAAAGCCAAUGUUAUUCCGGGCUGGUCGUUUAAUGGUACAGUUUGGUACGUGACAGCAGGUGCUGAAAACAUUUCCUUACCAGGAAACGGUCACGGGUUACAGUUGGGUCCAACCGGUAUGAUUAACCAAACAUUUAAAACUGAUGGAAGCUACUAUUAUGUUCUCACAUUCACGCUUGCUCCAAGCAGCAUCAACUGUGCCAACAACUUAACAGCUGUAAAUGUUUCGGGCCCAGUCGAUCGGAGGUGUUCUUCUUUAAAGAAUCAUAUGGGAACCAACUGUGGCAAACUUAUGGUUAUUCAAUAGGGAGCAAUGAGAUCCGAAGGGGUAUUAUGGGAAUACAAGUUCAAAGUGUCGUGAACGAUAGGCGUGACAAUAUGACUUGUUGGCCGAUUGUGGAUACGUUUUUGGUUAACGGGAUUCAGAAUCCAAGGCUGUAUGAAGAUAAUGGACUUGUGAACAGUGGGUUCGAGGUUGGACCGUCCUUCAUUGAUAACUCCUCACAAGGUAUCCUACUUGAGGCUGAUUCCGACAACGAUCCUUUUAGUUUGGUCCAAUCUCCACUACAAUAUUGGACCAUACUAGGUACAUUAAAAUAUAUCGACUCAAAACACUACGUUGUCCCACGAGGACGUGGGGCGGUUGAGCUACUUUCUGGUGAUCCGUCAGGAAUUGUAGCAAGUGUAUACUUCUUGAAACACGGGCAAGUUACUCUAGAGUUUAUCAUGGGCGAUGCCAAUGACUCGUGUGUGGGAGAUUUUAUGGUUUUUUUUGCAAGUUGGAAAUGCGAUAUGGAAUUUUACAAUGAGGAGCAUUGGUGUUGGAUCAAGAGAGCGACAUUCGGUGACAUUUAAGGCGGAAUUCAGCAACACUGAGUCGGUUCCUAUUAGUUUUUAUAGCUUUAACGAGACUCGAACCAGAAACCACCAAGUGUUAUGUGGACCUGUAAUUCUUCGGUUUUCUAGUGGCUUACGUACAGCAAAACUAUAUAACGGAUUUUUGAUUUUUAACUUCAUUUUAGCAAUUAUAUCUAGCAUAAAUUAGGGUUAUUGAAUUUCAUCUUAAUUUGUCUGUUCAGAUUCAAA